UACGGAUGGUGCGAGCGUUGUUCGGAAUUACUGGGCGUAAAGGGCGCGUAGGCGGCAUAUUAAGUCAGAUGUGAAAUCCCACGGCUCAACCGUGGAAGUGCAUCUGAAACUAGUAUGCUUGAGUAUCGGAGAGGAAAGUGGAAUUCCCGGUGUAGAGGUGAAAUUCGUAGAUAUCGGGAGGAGUACCGGUGGCGAAGGCGACUUUCUGGACGAAUACUGACGCUGAGGCGCGAAAGCGUGGGAGCAAACAGGGAUUAGAUACCCUGGUAGUCCACAGCUGUAAACGAUGAGAACUAGGUAUAGGGGGUGUUGACCCCUUCUGUGCCGUAGCAAACGCAUUAAGUUCUCCGCCUGGGGAGUACGGUCGCAAGAUUGAAACUC
This 381-nucleotide ribosomal RNA is filed under the name uncultured bacterium. RNAcentral describes it as "bacterial SSU rRNA". It matches the Rfam family "Bacterial small subunit ribosomal RNA", at positions 524 to 902 of the family's 1533-position model. The record is from RNAcentral.